UAUAGAUUUAUAUUAAAAAAAAAAUAUAAUCCGCUACUUCUCUAAUGACAGAUUUCUGACUUUAUAUCGGCUAAAGCUGAUUUUGGGACUGAAUUGGCAAUCAGUACAAGAACUGAGCUUGAUCCAGGUGAUGAGACUUAUUACUAGAAAAAUAUAUGCUUUUCUUCAUGAUGGCAUUCUGUUUGAUCAACUGUUUGGUGGCAGCAACAUGGUAUAGAUUGUUUGGGAGUUGCAGCAAUUAGCUGUACACAUACUAAGUCAAACCUGCUCUUCAUUUGGAUGUGAACACAAUUGGAGCAAAUAUGAUCAGAUUCGCUAUUUUACUUUGAAAGGCAAAACCAUCUCGCGCACAAGAAGUUUACUGAUUUUUGUAUGCUCACUAUAACUUGAGACUCAGGGAGUGCCAAAUAAGACAGUCAAAUGAGUUGAUAUCCCUUGAUAGUGUUCUACUGUUAUUGUAGAAGGUUUACUCAAUGACUGGGUUGACGAGCCAUGCAAGAUGAUGAAUUAUAUUUUACACCUGCAGUAGAAAAAUAGUGCAUAUCUGACACCAGACCUCCCCUUUUUUCCCUUUUUCCAUGCCUAGUUGCCUCGCUGUUUCCUUUUUAUUGUACGAGUCAUAUGUGGAUACUGCUUAGCAUAUGCUGAUGAAUUUGACUUCUGAUUUAUCAUCAGCAAGUUAUCUUUGACCAUGGAGAUGGAUACGACUAUGAUAUACUCGAGUAUGAUGAUGGUAACUCGGAUGUGAGGAGGGGAUCUCUAGACAUGGGGACACUAGCAGAUCUAGAUCCCUUGGAAGUACAUCCUAAUGCUGGUCCAGCCACAGGUGAUGAUGCAGAGCUCGAUUUUCUUGAGGAUGACUUAACUGAUUAGUUGAAUUACAGGACUUCAUCAACAUAACAAGCAGGCAGCGCGCUGGAGCGGAAGUGCGGAACUGGGAAGGCAGCUGUAUAUACCCUUUUUGCAAUGUAAUGAUCAUUCUGUUGCAACAGCCUUAUUUGUUCUUUGCUACAGUCUAAUGUUCCCAGUGAAAACAAUCAAUUAUUUUGUUAGAAGAAACUAUUUCCUGCUUGUUAGAGGUCA
Beta vulgaris subsp. vulgaris (sugar beet) is the source of this 1083-nucleotide long non-coding RNA. RefSeq lists it as uncharacterized. The record is from RefSeq and is a predicted model, not a curated record. The transcript is spliced from 2 exons. NCBI's taxonomy places the organism in Eukaryota, Viridiplantae, Streptophyta, Magnoliopsida, Caryophyllales, Amaranthaceae.